CUUUUGUAUAAUGGGUCAGCGACUUAUAUUCUGUAGCAAGGUUAACCGAAUAGGGGAGCCGAAGGGAAACCGAGUCUUAACUGGGCGUUAAGUUGCAGGGUAUAGACCCGAAACCCGGUGAUCUAGCCAUGGGCAGGUUGAAGGUUGGGUAACACUAACUGGAGGACCGAACCGACUAAUGUUGAAAAAUUAGCGGAUGACUUGUGGCUGGGGGUGAAAGGCCAAUCAAACCGGGAGAUAGCUGGUUCUCCCCGAAAGCUAUUUAGGUAGCGCCUCGUGAAUUCAUCUCCGGGGGUAGAGCACUGUUUCGGCAAGGGGGUCAUCCCGACUUACCAACCCGAUGCAAACUGCGAAUACCGGAGAAUGUUAUCACGGGAGACACACGGCGGGUGCUAACGUCCGUCGUGAAGAGGGAAACAACCCAGACCGCCAGCUAAGGUCCCAAAGUCAUGGUUAAGUGGGAAACGAUGUGGGAAGGCCCAGACAGCCAGGAUGUUGGCUUAGAAGCAGCCAUCAUUUAAAGAAAGCGUAAUAGCUCACUGGUCGAGUCGGCCUGCGCGGAAGAUGUAACGGGGCUAAACCAUGCACCGAAGCUGCGGCAGCGACACUAUGUGUUGUUGGGUAGGGGAGCGUUCUGUAAGCCUGUGAAGGUGUGCUGUGAGGCAUGCUGGAGGUAUCAGAAGUGCGAAUGCUGACAUAAGUAACGAUAAAGCGGGUGAAAAGCCCGCUCGCCGGAAGACCAAGGGUUCCUGUCCAACGUUAAUCGGGGCAGGGUGAGUCGACCCCUAAGGCGAGGCCGAAAGGCGUAGUCGAUGGGAAACAGGUUAAUAUUCCUGUACUUGGUGUUACUGCGAAGGGGGGACGGAGAAGGCUAUGUUGGCCGGGCGACGGUUGUCCCGGUUUAAGCGUGUAGGCUGGUUUUCCAGGCAAAUCCGGAAAAUCAAGGCUGAGGCGUGAUGACGAGGCACUACGGUGCUGAAGCAACAAAUGCCCUGCUUCCAGGAAAAGCCUCUAAGCAUCAGGUAACAUCAAAUCGUACCCCAAACCGACACAGGUGGUCAGGUAGAGAAUACCAAGGCGCUUGAGAGAACUCGGGUGAAGGAACUAGGCAAAAUGGUGCCGUAACUUCGGGAGAAGGCACGC
Molecule: ribosomal RNA, 1143 nt
Filed under: Escherichia coli
Lineage: Bacteria; Pseudomonadati; Pseudomonadota; Gammaproteobacteria; Enterobacterales; Enterobacteriaceae
Description: bacterial LSU rRNA
Rfam family: Bacterial large subunit ribosomal RNA
Source: RNAcentral